RNAcentral lists this ribosomal RNA (120 nucleotides) under uncultured bacterium. RNAcentral's name for it is "partial 16S ribosomal RNA". It matches the Rfam family "Bacterial small subunit ribosomal RNA", at positions 1367 to 1482 of the family's 1533-position model. The record is from RNAcentral.
UACGUUCCCGGGCCUUGUACACACCGCCCCCCGUCACACCACGAAAGUCGGCAACACCCGAAGCCGGUGGCCCAACCCUCUGGGAGGGAGCCGUCGAAGGUGGGGUCGGUGAUUGGGGUG